GGCGCUGUGGCCAAGUGGUAAGGCAGAGGUCUGCAAAAUCUUUAUUCCCCAGUUCAAAUCUGGGCAGCGCCU
RNAcentral lists this transfer RNA (72 nucleotides) under Eubacterium multiforme. RNAcentral describes it as "tRNA-Cys". It matches the Rfam family "tRNA". From Rfam's summary of the family: Transfer RNA (tRNA) molecules are approximately 80 nucleotides in length. Their secondary structure includes four short double-helical elements and three loops (D, anti-codon, and T loops). The record is from RNAcentral. Lineage: Bacteria; Bacillati; Bacillota; Clostridia; Eubacteriales; Eubacteriaceae.